RNAcentral lists this long non-coding RNA (1067 nucleotides) under Ficedula albicollis (Collared flycatcher). Its description in RNAcentral is "lncRNA (ENSFALG00000025041.1)". The record is from RNAcentral. Lineage: Eukaryota; Metazoa; Chordata; Aves; Passeriformes; Muscicapidae.
CAGAACCUCUGGGCAAGAUGAAGCAUCCCCAGUUCCAGCACUGCUCCUCUCUGCAGGAUCCUGAGCUGCUCGAGCCCCUGGCAGUAUUUGAGGGGCUGGCCGAGCAUUUAUUCCUGGUUAAAGAGCAAGAGAACUCCAUGCAGCUUCUCCCUGGCAGUUCCAGACCCUGGCACAGGGACUGACCUGCUGGGAUUUGUCCCAGGUGUGGCCCCGGUGCAGCUCCAGGAGAGGAGGGGGGGAGGAUCCGGGCUGUGCUCUGGCUCGCCUGGGAAAGGUGGGGACUAGAUUUACCUGUGGGAUAUCGAGAUAAGAUUCCUGAGUGAUUUCCAGCGGUGUGAAGCCGUUCCAGCUCGGGACGCCGAGGAUCCAGAGAUCUGUGCUCAUCCCAGAGGUGCUGCUGCUCCUCAGAAAUGGAAAUAUUUACCUGCAGCCCUCCUGUCCCGGCUGUGACACCGCUCCCAGCAGCUCUCUGACGUGGCAAAGAAGCAUUUUGGAGCUGGAGUUGAGGGAGAGAAGCAAAGGAGGAGGAAACCUGCACCAGGAAGAGCCCAGGGAGAGGCACUGGGCUGGCCCCAGCUCAGGUUGGUCCUGAAAUUGGGGAGGUUUAGGGGGGAGCCCUGCCCGGGGGGUGUUUGCAACACAGGGCAGGAUCUGGCUCAGCUCCUUCAGCGCCUGUGUCCCCUCGGUGACCCCAGGACAGGUGCAGGGAAGGGGGGCUGUGUUUGCACCUCCUGGAGGUGCCAAAUGGGUCAGCACGGCUGGUUUGACCCAGGAACUUCAUUUGGGGCUGGUUAGAUCAGGUGUGGGGGGGACAGGACCCCUCAGGUGUGAGGGAGACAGAACCCUCAGGUGUGAUGGGGACAGAACCCUCAGGUGUGAUGGGGACAGAACCCUCAGGUGUGAUGGGGACAGAACCCUCAGGUGUGAUGGGGACAGAACCCUCAGGUGUGAUGGGGACAGAACCCUCAGGUGUGAUGGGGACAGAACCCUCAGGUGUGAUGGGGACAGAACCCUCAGGUGUGAUGGGGACACGACCCUCAGCCGGGCCGGCCCAGCGCAGCGCUCUU